This 3832-nucleotide long non-coding RNA is filed under the name Citrus sinensis (sweet orange). RNAcentral describes it as "long non-coding RNA (CSIN_LNC002701)". Lineage: Eukaryota; Viridiplantae; Streptophyta; Magnoliopsida; Sapindales; Rutaceae. The record is from RNAcentral.
AGCUGUUUGUCACGCAAUUGCUUCCAAAACUUGCAGCCUUAGAGGUCAAGAAUAUGACAAGCAGCUAACUUUUGGAGACUAUAUAUAUGAAAGCACAUAAAUUGACAAAAGAUUUGGAAGUUGUUGGAUGUAAGACAAAGAACUGACGGCCAAUGGGCUACACAACCCAUACACAUGCGAUCCAAUCCCAGGAUUGGAUGGGACUCAAUUCUCCACCCAAAAAAAUUGUAGGGGUAAAAUUAUCUCCUAUAAUUAAGAAUAGAAUACAUAUCUCUCUAGUAUUAUGUGAAGAUAAAUAUUCAGACUCUAUUAUAAUAAAAUUAUUAAGGAUAAUCUAGAUAGAUUUUUUAUUGUAAAUAUUAGUGUGUGUAUAUAUAUAUAUAAGUGAAUCUAAUGCACGAUUGGAAACUAAUUUGUCUCUCUAUAAUUUGAGGUAGAAUAGAUAUGCCUCUACAAUUAUAUAAAGAUAAAAAUUAGGGCGGUUAUACUAUAGUAGAAUUAUUAAAGAUAGUCUUGAUAGAUUUUGAUUUAUCUAUUUGUAAUUUAGGGUAGAAUAAAAUAUUUUUUUCCAAUAUUAUGUGAGGAAUAGAAAUUCAGACUAUACUAUAAUAAAAUUAUGAAGAAUAAUCACAAUAAAUUUAUUAUGGUAAAUAUUAGUGUAUUAAAGAAAAAAAGAAGAAAAGAAGUAAAUCUGACGCCGGACAAGCAGCUUAGAUCCAAAGACAAAGCCUUCUAGAAGUGAGUCUAUUGUGGGAUUGACAAUUUAUCUCAUUGUCAAGUAUAUAUCUUGGGACCCACAAAGGUGGCUAUACAGGAUUUAGGGAAUUCCAGACAAAUUUUUCUUACGAGACUUCUUUAUGUUUAGUAACUUUAACACUUAAAAGAAACAUAAAGAAAUAUCAAAAUUAAUUAAAAUUUUUAAUUAUAUCUUAAAAUUUAAUAAUAAUCAGCAAAUUAGUAAGAAAUUGUAAAAAAGAAAAAUAGUCAACAAGAUGUUUUUUUUUAACUUCUAUUUGAAUCUUUAUUCUUUUUUUUUUUUUUUGCUUCAAAAGUGAGCUAACAAAUUUUUAUUAGAUAAGAACAUAAGAAAUUUAGUAAUGUUAAAUAUUUAUUUUUUUUAAAUUGAAAGACAAUAAAAAUUUUACUUUUUUAUAAAAUUUAAUAAAAAUUUAAUGGCAAUACAAAUAUUUUAAUUAUAACUCUCUAACAUUAAGGUUAUUGAAUAUAUUUGUAUAAAAAUGUUAGUUGUAGGAUUUAAAUUGAAAUGACAAAGAAUUUAAAUUAUUUUUGGAAAAAAAUUAACAAUAAUUUAACUGUUAGACAAAUAUUAUUAAUUAUAACUCUUUAAUAUAAAGACUAUCAAAUAUAUUUGUAUAAGAUAAUUAAUUAUUACUUAAGAAGAAGUCAAGUAAGCUUUUUUUUACUAAAAAAAUUAUUAAUUCAAGUAUUAUUAGAGAAAUAUCAUAGACUGCCUAGGUGAUCCACACUAAAAGCCGCCAAAAAUUAUAAAUUAGGCAUGACCAUAAAUAAAAAAAAUGAUAUUUUGGACAUCUCGAUUUCGAUUUCGCUUACUUACAUAUGCGGUCCUGUAAAGUCUGAUUUCAAAGUUGACUGUUGUACAUCUGACCUUUUACGUCACACUUUCACCGCGUUAUCACAUCACACCACCCGCACACUUCACCAAUUUCCCCAAGCCACAAAUUUUAUAAUUGGCAGCAAGCCACCUUGGAUCAGCUCCAAGGUAGCGCAGCCACCACAAUCAUUUGGAUGCAUGUACUUGAACUUAGAAUAAUUAUGAUAGAGUGCAUCUAAUGACCGGUAGCCAAGCGCUUUAUAAUUUUAACUAGUAUUCUUUUCUAGAAAGCGUACACGUGUCGCACUGGCGCCGAUUAAUGACAGUUUACUUUCUUUAAAAACUAACUCCAAGCCGUAAGCCCUCCCUCUUGUGUUUUGUGGUGAAGUAAACUCUUCCUACUCAAACACUGUACGGAGGCCAUCAUAUCAUCUGAGUAUGGAUCGUCCGUCGCCGGCAGACACCGCCCUCGCCAGCAGCUCAAUCUUCACCGUCCACCCUGAUAUCAUGAAAACUCAUGUCUUAACACGAUUAGACGCUUCUGCCCUUGCCUCCGCCUCCUGCGUCUCCUCUCAGCUCUACUCCCUCACUUCCUACGAAACUCUCUGGACAAACAUUUGCAACUCCACGUGGCCCUCCACCAACACUCCACGUCUGCGCCGCGUCAUCUCGUCCUUCCCCAAGGGGGCCCGCUCCUUCUUCUCCGACUCCAUCACUAACCCCGACAACGCAACCCCUUCCUCUCCCAAUCUCGACCUUCCAUCGGAAUUACUAUCAGCCGUUGAUAUUUACUAUCAGGACAGGCACAUCUUCGGUAAAGUUGUCAAAACAGAAACAUUCGAGGGCUCCCCGUUCAGAAUUGACUUACUUGACCCGCAGGACUCGGUGCCAACCGGGCUAAAUCAGCCGUUCAACGAGGGCGAGGGAAGUGAACUCAGCGAGUAUUUUAGGUUGAGUUGGAUUCUGAUCGACCCAAUCGGACGGCGGGCGAUGAAUUUAUCGAGCUGCAAGCCGGUGACCGUGGAAAGUUGGAGGUUUAUGACAGGAAAAGUGCGCAUGCGUUAUGCAUGUGUAUUCUCUACAGGGGAAGAUGAGUUCGUUCACUGUGAGAUUAUGGUCAAGUGCAAGGGGUCUCAGAGUGGGGAGAUGCGCGUGAGGAAGGUGAGGUUGCUCUUGGAAGACACGUGUGAAAAGCAAUUGAGCGGGAAGGAUGGUCUGGUAACUUUACUCAAGGGAAUGGUGGGUAAAAGAGUAAUUGUAAGAGGGAGAGAAGAGGAAGCAAAGCGGAGAUACAAAACGCAUUUGAAAAUGAGCACGGAAAAGAUGCAACUCGCGAGCGAGCUGCGGACGCGACAAUGGAUAUUAGUAGAGGCGUCGUUUGUUGCUUUAUAUUUGCUUAUCUUGGGUUUAUUUGUUUUCGUGGGCCGGAUUUAAUUUCCCCACCUUUCGGAACCUUAUAGAAGAAAGAGUGGAGUUACCGGCACACCCCUGAAUAAUUCUUUCGCAACCUCUUCUGUAAACAUACCCCCGUCUAAUAAUUUCAAAACUUACCUUUUUCUCUUAUAAACACUACCUUCAAAUUCAAUUCUCUGAAUACCCUUGUCUACUAUUAAAAAAUAAAGUUUGUAGAGAACCGAGUUUAAUAAUCCACUUCGAAGCCUUGAAAUUACAUACGAAAAGAGUGGAGUUUUAUAAGGAAGCAGACGACAAUUUUUAUAUGCUGGAGACUAAUUAGUAUUUUUCAAUCUAUGGAGGAGAGGAGAAACUUUAAUAAAAUAAGGAACCCCCAAUCCUCCGUCAAGAAGUAAAAGUGAUGAAGUUUGUGUCAUGAUCAUGCGGAGAUUUCUCUUUAAGACUAAUUUCUUCUUGUAGAAUGUUUGAAACAGAAAAGUUAUAAGGUUGCUUUAAUCCCAAUUGCAUGCAUCAAUGAAGCAUAUGUAUUUUGGAAAUAUUUGGGAUUAGCUCAUCAUCAAAUUUGAACGAACAAUUUACAAAUAUUAGUACAAAUUUAUAAACAUAUACAACCAAUUCCUUAUUAUUUAAGCCUUUUUCUCCAUUGUUUUGAAAGGCUGUAGAGAAGAGAGGUAUCAAAAACGAAUUGUGCAGGCUGCUGAGGUUUCGUACUUCAUUAUAUCUUUAUUGUCUUUUAAUGUAACUUUAUAGAUGGUUAAAAUCGUAAAAACAGAAACGGGGUUUCAAUAGGAUUAUUACUCUAGAAGAAAAUGGAGAGAAAGGGACAGCGCAAGAAAUUAAGCAAAG